GUGGGGAAUAUUGGACAAUGGGCGCAAGCCUGAUCCAGCCAUACCGCGUGGGUGAAGAAGGCCUUCGGGUUGUAAAGCCCUUUUGUUGGGAAAGAAAUCCUGUCGGUUAAUACCUGGCGGGGAUGACGGUACCCAAAGAAUAAGCACCGGCUAACUUCGUGCCAGCAGCCGCGGUAAUACGAAGGGUGCAAGCGUUACUCGGAAUUACUGGGCGUAAAGCGUGCGUAGGUGGUGGUUUAAGUCCGUUGUUAAAGCCCUGGGCUCAACCUGGGAAUUGCAGUGGAUACUGGAUCACUAGAGUGUGGUAGAGGGAUGCGGAAUUUCUGGUGUAGCAGUGAAAUGCGUAGAGAUCAGAAGGAACAUCCGUGGCGAAGGCGGCAUCCUGGGCCAACACUGACACUGAGGCACGAAAGCGUGGGGAGCAAACAGGAUUAGAUACCCUUGUAGUCC
This 450-nucleotide ribosomal RNA is filed under the name uncultured bacterium. Its description in RNAcentral is "partial 16S ribosomal RNA". It matches the Rfam family "Bacterial small subunit ribosomal RNA", at positions 354 to 796 of the family's 1533-position model. The record is from RNAcentral.